Molecule: long non-coding RNA, 1149 nt
Filed under: Piliocolobus tephrosceles (Ugandan red Colobus)
Lineage: Eukaryota; Metazoa; Chordata; Mammalia; Primates; Cercopithecidae
Description: lncRNA (ENSPTEG00000018959.1)
Source: RNAcentral
UGCAUAUACACAAUUUACUUACCUUAUAUACGAUCGUUUAACACAUUUGUAUGGAAAUUUUCAGACAAUUACUCAAAAUUCGAACGCCCUCAGUAAAAUUAUAAAGGCGUAUAAACAAUAAGUAUAUAUAUAUAUAUAUUAUGAUGGAAAAUAUUAUUUGUUAAUUAAUAUUUUACUGAGAAAUAUUUAUACAUUAAAACAAAGCGUUUAUGUAAAAAAAAAAGAUCACAUUUAUACUUAUCAAUUUUAAAAAAUAAUUCAUUUAUUGUUUUGUGCUUUUAAAUAUUUAUAUACAAAUACGUAUAUGUAUAUAUUGUUUCCAUUAAAAACUGUACAUAAAAAAAAAAAAAAUAUAUAUAUAUAUAUACAUAUAUAUAUAUAUAUAUAUAUAUAUAUAUGUGUAUUGUGUAUAUAUGUAUCCAUGUAUAUAUAUGCUCAUAUUUACAGUGUUGUAAAGAGAAAAAAACAACACUAUGUUUAUUAAAUUGUUUAAUUACUUUUAUUAAAAUUUGAUAAAUGUUAAAUAUAGCAUGAUUUAAUAUAGCAUUGUGUUAAGGUGUUAAUUUUAUAUAUACACAUUUAAACAUAUACUUAUACAUAUAUAUAAGCAAAUACUCAAGUGUGUGUGUUUUAAAACAUUUUUGUUUUAUUAACUUUUGUUAAUGUAGGCACUUUUCAUAUUUUUCUUACUUUUGUGCAUUCUCGUACUGUAAUUAACGUUUUGAUCUUUUUAAACCAUCAUUUUUUUAAAUAAGUUGCAAAUAACAACAUGUUGGAUUCAGAUAAUGAAGUACCUGAGCAAAUCUUGAUAGAGUACGGUAGAUUAUUAAGGAUAAGCCAGACAGAGAAUUACGAUGAGAUAAAAAAAACAGAUCUAUUAAAAAUAAUAGGGAAGGAUAAUUAUGGUAACCAUAUUGUUUUACUUAUUCCUUGUUUUAUAGUUACAUCCGGUGCUGACCCUGAAAAGUUAUUGUAAGUUUUAUGUUUGCAUCUUCUUUUUAAUACAUAAAAAUACUUAUGCUAUGUAAAACAAACGAAUUUAGACAUUCACUAAAGCGGAAAAGUUGUUAACACAUUUUUUUUGACAUUUUUUUUGACAUUUUUAUAACAUUUUUAUAAUAUUUUCUGAACAUUUUUUUUUUAAUUUUU